This is a non-coding RNA of Phoenix dactylifera (date palm), 1424 nucleotides long. Lineage: Eukaryota; Viridiplantae; Streptophyta; Magnoliopsida; Arecales; Arecaceae. The record is from RefSeq and is a predicted model, not a curated record.
CUUCCUUUUUUCUCCAUUCUUCUUCUCUUCCCGAUCCACUCCUCCUUUUCUCCUCGUCUCCCAUGAACUAAGAAGCGAGCUCGGAGGGGUGCCCGGGAGGAGACCAGCCCGAAGCUGGCGGUGCUGCGACCAACCGGCGGCACCUGCGGCGAUCGUGAUUCCACCCGCAGCACCCACGACCCGACUGGGAGCUCUCCUACUCCACCUCCGGUGGAGGAGAUGGGGCACGGCCACCCGUCGAGGGGCGGCAGAAUAGGCCGAAGCCAGUGGUGCACGCGUAACGCACGGCCGACACCUGCGGUCGGCCCGAUGGCCUCCAUGGUGGCCCGAGCCGGCGGCUCCUCCCUCGUUCCCAUUAGGGUAGGGAAAUAACCCACGGCUGCGGCCAUGGAUGCAGGCACGGCUGCAGCCAUGGAUGCGGGCACGGCUGCGGCCGAGCUCGUUGCGACCAAAGGAGGAGAGAAAAGGCCUCUGGCCAUCGACCACUGCGGCUAAGCAUACCGAUCGGAAUAUGAAAUGGAAGGGAUGGACGACUCACCUAGCUCCGGGACAACUAUGUGAUGUUCCCUCCGGCGGCUCGGAUCCCUACUCCGAUGAUAUUGCCCCUGCUUCAGUUCCUUGUAGCAGAAAAAGAGGGGAAUGAGAAGAAAUGAGAGAGUGAUGGAGUUCCUCUGUGAGGGAUCCAUGAGCCUUAAUAGCCCUCAGCUAGAGGAGGAGAGUGGUAGUGAUCGUGGCUGUCAGGCGGUUGUAACCGUCUCGGCUGGCGAUCACCGCCUCUAGGUCUCCGGAUGGGCCAGCCAGGUUGGGCUUGGCCCAUUAGCUCACUGUAUGUGGGCUGGUCCUCACACUCUUUCCCUUCUCUCUCUCCAUUUCCUCCGCAUACUCUAUUCCGAGGCUCCUGCUCCUUAUUUUGGAGCUCUGCUGCUGCUAGCCGCCAGACAGAGCCGCCAACGGCUGAGAUCCUCCCCUCCAUCGACAUGCCGGGGAAAGAAUGCAGGCAUAGAGAACAGGCAUCAAGGGUUUACCCAUGUCUUUGAAUCAACUUUCGAAAGUGUGGAAGGCAUAGCUGAGUACCUUCCACACCCGGCCCAUGUAGAAUUUACAAAGGAGUUCGCCUGCACUAGAGAGGGUUCUCGUUGUCGACUACAAGCCGACCAUAGUCCAUCAAUGAUGACAGAAUAUGGGUUCCCCUUCUUUGCGCUGAAGUCCUUGUGAAGGCAUCUACCUGGGGCUUGUCCAGAGCUUGUACUCAGAAUUUAUUUGUUUUGAUGCUUUAUGGUCUUUGUUGUGUAAAACAUUGCAGGCUCCUUUGGUUCUGCUUCAGUAAUUUGCUGAUAGAUGAACUGUUACCAUACGAUAAAAUAUAUCAUAGCAUCCGUGACUUGAUUUCAAAUGAAGGCGCUCUACAAGGUAUUGUUGAGAAA